CCUACGGGGGGCAGCAGUAGGGAAUUUUCGUCAAUGGGCGCAAGCCUGAACGAGCAAUGCCGCGUGAACGAGGAAGGUCUUCGGAUCGUAAAGUUCUGUUGAAGGGGAAAAAGAGCGGAGAGAGGAAAUGGUCUCCGAUUGAUAUUACCCUUCGAGGAAGUCACGGCUAACUACGUGCCAGCAGCCGCGGUAAUACGUAGGUGGCGAGCGUUAUCCGGAAUGAUUGGGCGUAAAGGGUGCGUAGGCGGCCUGCUAAGUCUGGAGUGAAAGGUACCGGCUCAACCGGUACAGGCUCUGGAAACUGG
RNAcentral lists this ribosomal RNA (305 nucleotides) under uncultured bacterium. RNAcentral describes it as "bacterial SSU rRNA". It matches the Rfam family "Bacterial small subunit ribosomal RNA", at positions 338 to 636 of the family's 1533-position model. The record is from RNAcentral.